This 497-nucleotide ribosomal RNA is filed under the name uncultured bacterium. Its description in RNAcentral is "partial 16S ribosomal RNA". It matches the Rfam family "Bacterial small subunit ribosomal RNA", at positions 28 to 507 of the family's 1533-position model. The record is from RNAcentral.
GAUGAACGCUGGCGGCGUGCCUAAUACAUGCAAGUCGAGCGAACGGACGAGAAGCUUGCUUCUCUGAUGUUAGCGGCGGACGGGUGAGUAACACGUGGAUAACCUACCUAUAAGACUGGGAUAACUUCGGGAAACCGGAGCUAAUACCGGAUAAUAUUUUGAACCGCAUGGUUCAAAAGUGAAAGACGGUCUUGCUGUCACUUAUAGAUGUAUCCGCGCUGCAUUAGCGAGUUGGUAAGGUAACGGCUUACCAAGGCAAGGAUGCCAAGCCGACCUGAGAGGGUGAUCGGCCACACUGGAACGGAGACACGGUCCAGACUCCUACGGGAGGCAGCAGUAGGGAAUCUUCCGCAAAGGGCGAAAGCCUGACGGAGCAACGCCGCGUGAGUGAUGAAGGUCUUCGGAUCGUAAAACUCUGUUAUUAGGGAAGAACAUAUGUGUAAGUAACUGUGCACAUCUUGACGGUACCUAAUCAGAAAGCCGCGGCUAACUACGUG